Molecule: long non-coding RNA, 494 nt
Organism: Triticum aestivum (bread wheat)
Lineage: Eukaryota; Viridiplantae; Streptophyta; Magnoliopsida; Poales; Poaceae
Exons: 3
Source: RefSeq, a predicted model, not a curated record
CGGAGCGAAGAGAAACCCGACGCGGUGGGUGCCGUAAUGCUGGAGAGCGAACAGGAACACUAUUAUGGCACAGGUUAUCGGAGUGACGGCAUCUGCAUGAAAGCAACAACAAGAAGAGGAAAUGAGCAUGGCAGAACAAGUGAAUAAAGUAUCAAGGAAACCUCUCCAGGCAGUUCAGUUUGUGACAGAAAUUCAGACAUAAAAGUCAUGAUAUAGUCCUGCUAGACCGCGCUGAUAACUGGGAGUGUUUGGGCCAGUUAAGAAUUGGAGUAGGCUCACAUUCGUGCUGAUGCUUGGACAAGGAGAGCUCAAGCCCAGAAACAGCCGAGAACACUGCAAUUGCAACAGACAAAAAUCGACAGCAGUACCAAUAAGUAACUGCUCCCUGAACUGAAGAGCCAACUGAAUGAAUAAUAAAAAGCCAAUAAAAAAGAAAGAAGAUGGAUGGACCGAAAAAGGCUGAAGAUACUACUACGUACCGGAGAUGACGGGGG